Molecule: microRNA precursor, 78 nt
Filed under: Trichobilharzia regenti
Lineage: Eukaryota; Metazoa; Platyhelminthes; Trematoda; Strigeidida; Schistosomatidae
Description: mir-3492 microRNA precursor family
Rfam family: mir-3492 microRNA precursor family
Source: Rfam by way of RNAcentral
AACCUUUUGUAUCCAUGCUGAGAUUUUGUUAGAAAUCAGUCCGUUGGGGCUGAUGUAACUUCGCAAAUACGUGAAGUG